This 253-nucleotide ribosomal RNA is filed under the name uncultured bacterium. Its description in RNAcentral is "partial 16S ribosomal RNA". It matches the Rfam family "Bacterial small subunit ribosomal RNA", at positions 524 to 776 of the family's 1533-position model. The record is from RNAcentral.
UACAGAGGGUGCAAGCGUUAAUCGGAAUUACUGGGCGUAAAGGGCGCGUAGGUGGUUUAUUAAGUCAGAUGUGAAAUACCCGGGCUUAACCUGGGAAUUGCAUUUGAAACUAAUUGGCUAGAGUAUGGUAGAGGGAAGUGGAAUUUCCGGUGUAGCGGUGAAAUGCGUAGAUAUCGGAAGGAACACCAGUGGCGAAGGCGACUUCCUGGACCAUUACUGACACUGAGGCGCGAAAGCGUGGGGAGCGAACAGG